Molecule: transfer RNA, 72 nt
Filed under: Ornithorhynchus anatinus (platypus)
Lineage: Eukaryota; Metazoa; Chordata; Mammalia; Monotremata; Ornithorhynchidae
Rfam family: tRNA
About the family: Transfer RNA (tRNA) molecules are approximately 80 nucleotides in length. Their secondary structure includes four short double-helical elements and three loops (D, anti-codon, and T loops).
Source: Rfam by way of RNAcentral
AGCAGUGUAACUCGGUGGAAAGAGCCUGGGCUUGGGAGUCAGAGGGCAUGGGUUCGAAUCCCGUCUCUGCCG